GACGAACGCUGGCGGCGUGCUUAACACAUGCAAGUCGAACGGAAAGGCCCUGCUUUUGUGGGGUGCUCGAGUGGCGAACGGGUGAGUAACACGUGAGUAACCUGCACUUGACUUUGGGAUAACUUCAGGAAACUGGGGCUAAUACCGGAUAGGAGCUCCUGCUGCAUGGUGGGGGUUGGAAAGUUUCGGCGGUUGGGGCUGGACUCGCGGCUUAUCAGCUUGUUGGUGGGGUAGUGGCUUACCAAGUUUUUGACGGAUAGCCGGCAUGAGAGGGUGACCGGCCUCAAUGGGACUGCGAGACGGCCCAGACUCCUACGGGAGGCAGCAGGGGGGAAUAUUGCACAAUGGGCGGAAGCGUGAGGCAGCGACGCCGCGUGCGGGAUGACGGCCUUCGGGUUGUAAACCGAUUUCGCCGGUGACGAAGCGUGAGUGACGGUAAUGGGUAAAGAAGCACCGGCUAACUACGUG
This 468-nucleotide ribosomal RNA is filed under the name uncultured bacterium. Its description in RNAcentral is "partial 16S ribosomal RNA". It matches the Rfam family "Bacterial small subunit ribosomal RNA", at positions 28 to 507 of the family's 1533-position model. The record is from RNAcentral.